CGGAGCAGUGUUCUCCUCAGCACAGACCCAGGCGGGCCGGGGGCACCGCGAGGGCGGAGCUGCGUUCUGCUCAGCACAGACCCGGGGGACACCGCUAAGGCAGAGCAGCGUUCUCCUCAGCACAGACCUUUGGGGCACUGCCUCGCUUUGGGACAACUCGGGACCGCAUAGACGGGAUCAUGGCACAAGUUGCAGUUUCCACCCUGCCCAUGGAAGAUGAGGAGUCUGUUGAAGAUGAUUCCGUGGAGAGCAGGAUGGUGGUGACAUUUCUCAUAUCAGCUCUCGAGUCCACGACAAAAUCUUGCUCUGUUGCCCAGGCUGGAGUGCAGUGACAUGAACAUGGCCAGUGCAGCUGUGACCUUCCAGGCACAAGUGAUCCUCUCACCUCAGCCUCCUAAG
Molecule: long non-coding RNA, 399 nt
Filed under: Homo sapiens (human)
Lineage: Eukaryota; Metazoa; Chordata; Mammalia; Primates; Hominidae
Description: HSALNT0319558
Source: RNAcentral